This 69-nucleotide transfer RNA is filed under the name Sinocyclocheilus ronganensis. Its description in RNAcentral is "tRNA-Ala". It matches the Rfam family "tRNA". Rfam says of the family: Transfer RNA (tRNA) molecules are approximately 80 nucleotides in length. Lineage: Eukaryota; Metazoa; Chordata; Actinopteri; Cypriniformes; Cyprinidae. The record is from RNAcentral.
AGGGCCUUAGCUUAAUAAAAGUGCCUGAUUUGCAGUCAGGAGAUGCGAGUUAUUUUCUUGUAGGUCUUG